CUUUCACAAUUUUCUCCAUCUGAUUAAAGUACUGGUCCAUACGUGGCUUUGCUUUUUCAAAGUCCAAGUCUUUGCCAAUGGUGGUGAGCAGGCGACACAGGCACUCCAGGGAUUCUUCAUCAUGGUUCUUUAGCAGCUUCACCACACAGUCAUGCAUGAUGGCUUCAGUCAGCAUUUUGAGUUUAAAGAGUUCUCCAAUAAACUUGAUGUUGCCAAUGGAUCUCCGCCGGGCUUUGUCCUUGGC
This 244-nucleotide long non-coding RNA is filed under the name Homo sapiens (human). RNAcentral describes it as "LNC_000052". The record is from RNAcentral. Lineage: Eukaryota; Metazoa; Chordata; Mammalia; Primates; Hominidae.